UUUAAACAGAGCCUCCGCCACAAGAUGAGAAUCAAUGCAACCAUCAGCCAAACCUUCAGACAACAACACAUCCUAUUCUGACUGUCAUAUCCUCCCAAUGAUGUUUGCUGCAAUAAUAGUUGUAUUACAGAUCAAACUUAAAAUGUGCAAGAAAAGCUCCAAAAAAUGUCAAGAUGACAAACUAAAACAGCUUAACACUCCAAACACAUAUGAGUUUACAGAAGUGGAGUUUCAUCUGUGUGAAUAACAUUGCAGUGAGGCCGGCAGCAUUUUUACAAUACAAAUACUUACUAGUCCUGUAAAUGUUUAACAUAAUGUUUUUCAACACCUUUAAUAAUAUACAGUUAUGAAUAAUAAUACACAGUUUUGUUGAAGUGGCUUGAUUCUAGGCUAUUUUAGACUAAGACACAUGUUUAACUGAAAAGAACUUACACCGACAGAUGUUAAAAUAUGCCAUUGAUUUAUCUCAAGAUAGACACCAACAUCUUUUUCUAGGGCAUCUUUUUAAUUUAACUAAGGCCUUGUCUGUGAAACCAGGCCAUGAUUAUAUGAUUUCCUAUUUAACCUCAUGUAAAACCAAAGUGUGCAGUAUAUGGCCUGUGAACUUUUAUUUUGUAAUUGAACUGUUAUUUGUUCUCUGCUUACUUCCUGUUUCCUGCUCUGUUGUGAUUGGCUGGACAUCUGUUUACUCUAAUAAAUGUUUAUUUGUCUUUUAUAUUAUUCUACAUAAUGUCUUAUAUGAUCUCUUUCUCUCUCUCUUUCUCUCUCUCUCUGUAUCGCUGAUAUAUUACUGUAUGGUUUUUUUAUAUUGGUACAUGUGUAAACAUACCUUCAGAUGCUUCUUAAUCUUUGGAUUAAGUUAACAUCAUUUUAAAAAUCAAUGUGCUCAGCUUGAGCAGUCAUACAUUA
Non-coding RNA from Misgurnus anguillicaudatus (oriental weatherfish), 909 nucleotides. Lineage: Eukaryota; Metazoa; Chordata; Actinopteri; Cypriniformes; Cobitidae. The record is from RefSeq and is a predicted model, not a curated record.